RNAcentral lists this ribosomal RNA (465 nucleotides) under uncultured Haemophilus sp. Its description in RNAcentral is "bacterial SSU rRNA". It matches the Rfam family "Bacterial small subunit ribosomal RNA", at positions 338 to 795 of the family's 1533-position model. Lineage: Bacteria; Pseudomonadati; Pseudomonadota; Gammaproteobacteria; Pasteurellales; Pasteurellaceae. The record is from RNAcentral.
CCUACGGGGGGCAGCAGUGGGGAAUAUUGCGCAAUGGGGGGAACCCUGACGCAGCCAUGCCGCGUGAAUGAAGAAGGCCUUCGGGUUGUAAAGUUCUUUCGGUAUUGAGGAAGGAGUGUAUGUUAAUAGCAUACAUUAUUGACGUUAAAUACAGAAGAAGCACCGGCUAACUCCGUGCCAGCAGCCGCGGUAAUACGGAGGGUGCGAGCGUUAAUCGGAAUAACUGGGCGUAAAGGGCACGCAGGCGGUUAUUUAAGUGAGGUGUGAAAGCCCUGGGCUUAACCUGGGAAUUGCAUUUCAGACUGGGUAACUAGAGUACUUUAGGGAGGGGUAGAAUUCCACGUGUAGCGGUGAAAUGCGUAGAGAUGUGGAGGAAUACCGAAGGCGAAGGCAGCCCCUUGGGAAUGUACUGACGCUCAUGUGCGAAAGCGUGGGGAGCAAACAGGAUUAGAUACCCUGGUAGUC